GUUUUCAAGGUAGCCAAGUUUGGUGGUGAGACUUGGCUAGGUCGAUGCAUGGGGCAAAGAUUUGGGAAAUUUUCAAAGUGUGUGUUUUUGAGAUUUGAUGGUUGGAAUGUAGUCUUUAUAUGACCAAAUGGCUACUUUAAAAAUCUUGGUGCAAGAAAUAUUUCGUUUUGGUUUGUUUUAAAGCUAGCCAAGUUUGGAGGUGAGACUUGGCUAGGUCAGUGCAUGGGGCCAAGAUUUGGGAAAUUUUCAAAGUGUUUGUUUUUUAGGUUUGAUGGUUGAAAUGCAGUCUUUAUAUGACCAAAUGGCUACGGUAAAAAUCUUAGUCCAACAAAUUUUUCAUUUUAGUGGCUGUUGAAGUUAUCCAAGUUUGGUGGUGAUACUUGGCUAGGUCGGUGCAUGGGGCCAAGAUUUCGGAAAUUUUCAAAGUGUUUGUUUUUGAAGUUUGAUGGUUGGAAUGCACUCUUUAUAUGACCAAAUGGAUACGGUAAAAAUCUUGGUGCAACAAAUUUUUCAUUUUGGUGGGUUUUCAAGCUAGCCAAGUUUGGUGGUGAGACUUGGCUAGGUCGGUGCAUGAGGCCAAAAUUAUAUGACCAAAUGUAUACAGUAAAAAUUUUGGCGCAAAAAAUUUUUCAUUUUGGUUUGUUUUAAAGCUAGCCAAGUUUGGUGGUGAGACUCGGCUAGGUCGUGCGUGGGGCCAAGAUUUGGAAAAUUUUCAAAGUGUUUGUUUUUGAAGUUUGAUUGUUGGAAUGCACUCUUUAUAUGACCAAAUAGCUACUGUAAAAAUCAUGGUGCAAAAAAUUUUUCAUUUUGGUGAGAUUUCAAGCUAGCGAAGUUUGGUGGUGAAACUUGGCGAG
Molecule: long non-coding RNA, 854 nt
Filed under: Vigna radiata
Lineage: Eukaryota; Viridiplantae; Streptophyta; Magnoliopsida; Fabales; Fabaceae
Description: long non-coding RNA (VRAD_LNC013961)
Source: RNAcentral